CUUAACACAUGCAAGUCGAGGGGCAGCAUGGUCUUAGCUUGCUAAGGCCGAUGGCGACCGGCGCACGGGUGAGUAACACGUAUCCAACCUGCCGUCUACUCUUGGACAGCCUUCUGAAAGGAAGAUUAAUACAAGAUGGCAUCAUGAGUCCGCAUGUUCACAUGAUUAAAGGUAUUCCGGUAGACGAUGGGGAUGCGUUCCAUUAGAUAGUAGGCGGGGUAACGGCCCACCUAGUCUUCGAUGGAUAGGGGUUCUGAGAGGAAGGUCCCCCACAUUGGAACUGAGACACGGUCCAAACUCCUACGGGAGGCAGCAGUGAGGAAUAUUGGUCAAUGGGCGAGAGCCUGAACCAGCCAAGUAGCGUGAAGGAUGACUGCCCUAUGGGUUGUAAACUUCUUUUAUAAAGGAAUAAAGUCGGGUAUGGAUACCCGUUUGCAUGUACUUUAUGAAUAAGGAUCGGCUAACUCCGUGCCAGCAGCCGCGGUAAUACGGAGGAUCCGAGCGUUAUCCGGAUUUAUUGGGUUUAAAGGGAGCGUAGAUGGAUGUUUAAGUCAGUUGUGAAAGUUUGCGGCUCAACCGUAAAAUUGCAGUUGAUACUGGAUAUCUUGAGUGCAGUUGAGGCAGGCGGAAUUCGUGGUGUAGCGGUGAAAUGCUUAGAUAUCACGAAGAACUCCGAUUGCGAAGGCAGCCUGCUAAGCUGCAACUGACAUUGAGGCUCGAAAGUGUGGGUAUCAAACAGGAUUAGAUACCCUGGUAGUCCACACGGUAAACGAUGAAUACUCGCUGUUUGCGAUAUACUGCAAGCGGCCAAGCGAAAGCGUUAAGUAUUCCACCUGGGGAGUACGCCGGCAACGGUGAAACUCAAAGGAAUUGACGGGGGCCCGCACAAGCGGAGGAACAUGUGGUUUAAUUCGAUGAUACGCGAGGAACCUUACCCGGGCUUAAAUUGCAGAUGAAUUACGGUGAAAGCCGUAAGCCGCAAGGCAUCUGUGAAGGUGCUGCAUGGUUGUCGUCAGCUCGUGCCGUGAGGUGUCGGCUUAAGUGCCAUAACGAGCGCAACCCUUGUUGUCAGUUACUAACAGGUUCCGCUGAGGACUCUGACAAGACUGCCAUCGUAAGAUGUGAGGAAGGUGGGGAUGACGUCAAAUCAGCACGGCCCUUACGUCCGGGGCUACACACGUGUUACAAUGGGGGGUACAGAGGGCCGCUACCACGCGAGUGGAUGCCAAUCCCCAAAACCUCUCUCAGUUCGGACUGGAGUCUGCAACCCGACUCCACGAAGCUGGAUUCGCUAGUAAUCGCGCAUCAGCCACGGCGCGGUGAAUACGUUCCCGGGCCUUGUACACACCGCCCGUCAAGCCAUGGGAGCCGGGGGUACCUGAAGUGCGUAACCGCGAGGAGCGCCCUAGGGUAAAACUGGUGACUGGGGCUAAGUC
RNAcentral lists this ribosomal RNA (1436 nucleotides) under uncultured organism. RNAcentral's name for it is "16S ribosomal RNA". It matches the Rfam family "Bacterial small subunit ribosomal RNA". The record is from RNAcentral.